CUCAAGUGAAAUUUCCAAGUUAUCUGAUGACUUAAGGAGCUUCAAUUUCUUUCCCGGGAACAUAUAAACAGCAAAUACGUUCACACCUUUGAUAGAUAUUGGAUUCUUUCCGCUCUUCCAUUCAAUAUCUUUAGGACUUGCCAAGCAGGUCACUGAGAGUGAAUGUUGGUUUGCACAUUUGUUUCUCCUGGACAGAGGGCACCAACCUCCUCCUUGACAAUUGAAGAGUCCCACCACUCCAGUAUACUGUUACAAAUCCCCAUAAAAAAAACAAAAUCACAAGUCAGUGAAAUUUAAGGGCACUAGUGCAAUAUCACAUAAUAAAAGACAGACAUUACAUUAUAGCUUACUUUGUUAAGGUUCCAAAUCUUGAGCAUGGUUUUACCAUCAUGCAAUGGAUCUUGAAAAAGGCAAUCUCUGGUAGGAAGUGCAUAAUACUGGCAGCGCAAAAUAGAGCCAUCAGGCAACACUAGCCUACUGAGCAAUUUGAGGUUGUGGUUGCCAACAGAAUCGCUCACAUACAUUGGUCCUCCAGAAAUGGCCCUCGAAGCAGCAUGAAAUUCAGCACAAGGGUGGGUUGAUUGGAACAUGUCCCAAUCUGGGUGUAUGAAAUUGCCCAUCCACAAGCUAUUAUAGGCACAAUGUACCAUGUGACACCCUUGUAGCCAAUAUGUCCCAUUUGGAUCUCCAGAUGGGUCAGUGCACCAAAAAUCAUCCCCUGCAAAAGGGUCAAAUUUAAUGAAUAUAUAAAUUUAUCUCAAGUUUCUUUUCUUCUAGAACAAGAAAUACUAAAGGCAUUACCAACUCGCCCAAGUGCUAUGGCCUCUGUUCCGAGGAACAUGAAGUCAUUACAAUGCUCCAUACUUGCAAUCACACCAUUUCCUCUGAAAUGUUUCCUUGUGGAAGCAGUUAAUGCUUUGUAAUAAGCUUUAGCAAGCUCUACUCUACCACCAAAUUCCUCUGAUAGCAUUUCCAACAACUGAAAGGAACCUAUUUCGUUAGAAUUUGAAAUAAAUGCAAGUAAAAUUCAGCUAAAUAUUCAUUUAAUUACUUAGAAUACGUACUCAAUCGCAGACAAUCUUGAGGAAUUAGGCCAUGGGACUUGAAUUACCACCACCUGAUCAUCAUAGCUAAACUGAACAUCUACACCGUCUAAUUUGCAAGCCACCGGCUUUUCUGAUGCAAAAACCUUCAUUUCUCCUCUUCCCUUAACCCCAAUUCUAACCAAAUUCUUAUCAUCAUCAAUAUCUAGUGACUGAAUUGCACCCCCGGAAUUAAGCAUGUUCACCAGUCCAAUAGGAGCAAACUGGAUUAAUUUUCCGAACAAUAUUGUCACAGGAGAAACUGUAAGCAGUUCAUAUUUAAAUGGCUCAAGUGAAAUUUCCAAGUUAUCUGAUGACUUAAGGAGCUUCAAUUUCUUUCCCGGGAACAUAUAAACAGCAAAUACGUUCACACCUUUGAUAGAUAUUGGAUUCUUUCCGCUCUUCCAUUCAAUAUCUUUAGGACUUGCCAAGCAGGUCACUGAGAGUGAAUGUUGGUUUGCACAUUUGUUUCUCCUGGACAGAGGGCACCAACCUCCUCCUUGACAAUUGAAGAGUCCCACCACUCCAGUAUACUGUUACAAAUCCCCAUAAAAAAAACAAAAUCACAAGUCAGUGAAAUUUAAGGGCACUAGUGCAAUAUCACAUAAUAAAAGACAGACAUUACAUUAUAGCUUACUUUGUUAAGGUUCCAAAUCUUGAGCAUGGUUUUACCAUCAUGCAAUGGAUCUUGAAAAAGGCAAUCUCUGGUAGGAAGUGC
This 1800-nucleotide long non-coding RNA is filed under the name Jatropha curcas. RNAcentral's name for it is "long non-coding RNA (JCUR_LNC002163)". The record is from RNAcentral. Lineage: Eukaryota; Viridiplantae; Streptophyta; Magnoliopsida; Malpighiales; Euphorbiaceae.